GAUGAACGCUGGCGGCGUGCCUAAUACAUGCAAGUCGAGCGAACAGAUAAGGAGCUUGCUCCUUUGACGUUAGCGGCGGACGGGUGAGUAACACGUGGGUAACCUACCUAUAAGACUGGGAUAACUUCGGAAACCGGAGCUAAUACGGGUAACAUUUUGAACCCCCUUGUUUUAAAGGGAAAAAUGGUUUUUCUUACCCUUUUAGGUUGGCCCGCGCCGUAUUAGCUAGUUGGUUAGGUAACGGCUUACCAAGGCGACGAUACGUAGCCGACCUGAGAGGGUGAUCGGCCACACUGGAACUGAGACACGGUCCAGACUCCUACGGGAGGCAGCAGUAGGGAAUCUUCCGCAAUAGGCGAAAGCCUGACGGAGCAACGCCGCGUGAGUGAUGAAGGGUUUCGGCCCGUAAAACUCUGUUAUUAGGGAAGAACAAAUGUGUAAGUAACUGUGCACGUCUUGACGGUACCUAAUCAGAAAGCCACGGCUAACUACGUG
Molecule: ribosomal RNA, 495 nt
Filed under: uncultured bacterium
Lineage: Bacteria
Description: partial 16S ribosomal RNA
Rfam family: Bacterial small subunit ribosomal RNA
Source: RNAcentral